GGAUGGGAGAACGAUCUGGCUGCGAUAUCUGUCAUCAACGUCAGGGUUGAUUCCGCUGAUCUGGCUGCUAGGCGGGCGUCCCCUUCCUCCCUCUCCGCUCCAUGUGCAUCCCUCCAGAAGCUGCGCACUUGAUGAAAGAGGAUGGCCUUCCCCGAAUAGAGAUGGACCCGGUUUCCAUCAAGGGUAUACGAGUAGCUGCGCUCCCCUCCUAGGACCUCCAAACAAGCUCUCUCUCCAUGCUUCUAUAUGAAUUUGAACUCAAGGUCUGUCUUACACAAAAAGAAGUGAUUAAUCU
RNAcentral lists this small nuclear RNA (295 nucleotides) under Sorex araneus (European shrew). Its description in RNAcentral is "7SK RNA (ENSSARG00000017559.1)". It matches the Rfam family "7SK RNA". From Rfam's summary of the family: 7SK was discovered as an abundant small nuclear RNA in the mid-70s but a possible function has only recently been suggested. The record is from RNAcentral. Lineage: Eukaryota; Metazoa; Chordata; Mammalia; Eulipotyphla; Soricidae.